RNAcentral lists this transfer RNA (74 nucleotides) under Nanobdellota archaeon. RNAcentral describes it as "tRNA-Met". It matches the Rfam family "tRNA". Rfam says of the family: Transfer RNA (tRNA) molecules are approximately 80 nucleotides in length. Their secondary structure includes four short double-helical elements and three loops (D, anti-codon, and T loops). The record is from RNAcentral. Lineage: Archaea; Nanobdellati; Nanobdellota.
GCCUCGAUAGUUUAGUCUGGCAGAACCCUAGUUUCAUGAGCUAGUGAUCGCCGGUUCAAAUCCGGCUCGAGGCA